RNAcentral lists this ribosomal RNA (426 nucleotides) under uncultured bacterium. RNAcentral describes it as "partial 16S ribosomal RNA". It matches the Rfam family "Bacterial small subunit ribosomal RNA", at positions 354 to 796 of the family's 1533-position model. The record is from RNAcentral.
GUGGGGAAUCUUGCGCAAUGGGCGAAAGCCUGACGCAGCCAUGCCGCGUGAAUGAUGAAGGUCUUAGGAUUGUAAAAUUCUUUCACCGGGGACGAUAAUGACGGUACCCGGAGAAGAAGCUCCGGCUAACUUCGUGCCAGCAGCCGCGGUAAUACGAAGGGGGCUAGCGUUGCUCGGAAUUACUGGGCGUAAAGGGCGCGUAGGCGGACAGCUUAGUCAGAGGUGAAAGCCCAGGGCUCAACCUUGGAAUUGCCUUUGAUACUGGCUGUCUUGAGUUUGGGAGAGGUGAGUGGAACUCCGAGUGUAGAGGUGAAAUUCGUAGAUAUUCGGAAGAACACCAGUGGCGAAGGCGACUCACUGGCCCAAUACUGACGCUGAGGCGCGAAAGCGUGGGGAGCAAACAGGAUUAGAAACCCGUUGUAGUCC